AGAGGAGCCAGGAGGAAGAGGGGCUCGGCCACGCUACAGGGAAGGGGAGGUGAUGAUGAGGAGUGCUGCAGCCUUAUAGAAAGCACUGGCUCUGCUUGGGGCCAUGGGCCAGCUCAGGGCCCCAAGCAGUUGCUUGAUUUGCCUGUCCGGUAGCAACAGGCCUCCUCAUGCAUGCCUGAACUCCUUCACUGUGUUAACCUCUACCACUUAAGCUGGAAGCCUAUUCCAUGAAUCCACUACCCUCUCAGUAAAGUAAUACUUCCCAAUAUUCUUUGUAAACCUUUGCCCCUCUAAUUAACCCCUUAAGGACCAAACUUCUGGAAUAAAAGGGAAUCAUGACGUGUCACACAUGUCAUGUGUCCUUAAGGGGUUAAAGACUAUGUCCUCUUGUUGUGGUAGAUUUCUUCUUUUAAACAGUCUCCUCCUUUGCUGUGUUGAUUCCCUUUAUAUAUUUAAAUGUUUCUAUCAUAUCCCCCAAUCUCGUCUGUCCUCCAAGCUAUACAGGUUUAGAUCCUUUAACCUAUCCUUGUUCGUUUUUGUUCUGCAAUCCAUGAACCAGUUUAGUAGCCCUUCUCUGAACACUCUCCAAAGUAUCACUAUCCUUCUGGAGAUACGGUCUCCAGUACUGUGUACAAUACGCCAAGUGAGGUCACACCAGUGUUCUGUACAAUGGCAUGAGCACUUCCCUCUUUCUCCUGCUGCUCUAUUACAUUGUCUGUCUACCUUUAAAGUGGCACUAUCAUGGCCGAAUCCAGUUGUUUUUUUAACCCCCCCCUCCCGACUCCACUAUGUCUAAUUGUCCCCCUAGUCAUCCCCAAAUGCCCCUAAGCCCCCCAGCCGACCUAUUUUUUCAUCUUUACUUUGUGCCCGGACCAAGGUCCUGAAUGUAACACAGGAACUGCACUCAAACUUCCAACCUUAGAACUA
This is a non-coding RNA of Pelobates cultripes (western spadefoot toad), 927 nucleotides long. The record is from the annotation of a GenBank genome assembly. NCBI's taxonomy places the organism in Eukaryota, Metazoa, Chordata, Amphibia, Anura, Pelobatidae.